AUAAAAAUAAGGCAUGAAUGCCAUGGGGGUGUCAACAAUAAAAUCGUUUUCUGCUUUCAACUCAAAACACAAUUUUAUUUUUAUUAGACGAUGAAGCUGCAGAUGAUUAGAGCCAAUUCAAAAUUCAGGGAGAGACUGGAAGUGCUGAAAUGGUGUUCAUUGAAGAUGAUUGUAAGUCAAAGAAAGCUAGGAAAAAGAAAAAGAAGAAUCACGAUUCCUUCGAAGGUGGGAAGUUACUGGAAAAGAGAGUGGAAGCUGUUCGAGAUGAACCUUGUCAUCUCUCUUCAGUGGAUGUGGACUGCUAAAGAGAAAUAAAAAGUAUAAUUCUUGAAUUGAAACAUCGUUAUAUAGUGAUGUUCUAUCUGCAUAAAUAUUGAAUGAAGAGCAAUGCAAAUUGAAAUCGUAAGUUAUUUCUUUUUCUAGAAUUCUAGUUGUUGAAUGUUGAAUUGUUGAUGUCUUGAUGAUAUAUAUUGUGCUAUUGCCGAUUUACCGAUUAUGUUUACAAUGAGAUUGGCUGUUAAUCUAAAAGUUGAAAGCUUGAGAGUUGAAUGCUUUCCUGGGUUGGAGUGGUGUCGAAGAGUGAGGCUAUUCGAAUGGUCGAUGAGGCAGACCUUGAUUUGGAUUUUGAAUGGUGAAGAUGUAGAUAUAGAGGAAACGGUUCUUCGUACUCCAAUAUCCAAAUCCUAGAAGAACCAUUCAGAUUUGUUCUACUCAACACCACAAACAAAUAGGAACAUUCCUUCUGGUGCUGCAAUAUGUGCUAACUUGUGAAGCUUCACAACAAGCUUGGAGGUGAUGCAAAUAAGAAUAUAUUGCACAAGAUGCUUGGUAAAGUGACACAUGAAGGUUUUGUUGAAGUGAAAAGAUAUUAUAUCAGCUUUUGAUUCAUGUGUAGCUAGUUAGGAAUGCUUUUCUUCUUUUAUUGUUGGCUUGAAAUUUGGACAAUUUUGUUUGGGAAAUACUGCAUUUUGCAGUUUUAUGUACAGAAUGUUGGAUUAUGAUGGAUUGCUUGAAAGA
Long non-coding RNA from Rosa chinensis, 1017 nucleotides. RefSeq lists it as uncharacterized. The transcript is spliced from 4 exons. The record is from RefSeq and is a predicted model, not a curated record. NCBI's taxonomy places the organism in Eukaryota, Viridiplantae, Streptophyta, Magnoliopsida, Rosales, Rosaceae.